AAGAUAAAAGAGUAAAAGAAGUAUUAAGUGCAAGCAAAGUUGGAAAAUUCUGCGAUAAGUUACGAGAAAGAAAGUCAAGAAAAGUUAAGAAAAGCGAAUCGAGAAAACGAAAUGAAGUUCUUUGGUGGUGCUUUUCUAAUACUUGUGACGAUAAUGUUAAUCUUGGUACCACUGACAAUCGGUCAGAAGAAUAAGGAUGUAAUGGAUGUAAUAAAAAAUAAUACACAACCCAAGAAUAAGACACUCUGCGCUGAAUGUAAAGUACUACAACCUACAAUACAUAUAAAUGCAUUUAUAAAUGCACCUAGAAGAACAACUGCAAGUCCAUGUCCGAAGGGCCAGAGACAGGAUGCCGGAGGAGUAUGUCGCUCACUCAUAUAACGAGCGAAAAAGGCUCGCAGAUAUCAACAUUUCAGCAAUAUCAGCGAUAAAAGCGAUAUCCAAAAAUAUCGUCUCAACAAACAGAAAACUGAAAAUACACACUAUACUUUUUGUAUCCACCAGGAUUAUAAUAACUUCAAAUUGUACAGUUAAUUUUAAUUGUAUUGAUCAUGAUCUUGACAUUCCUGAACAACAUUUAAAAAGGUUUAAUCAUCACCUUAUCGAACCAAUCGAACACCUUAGCUAAUGCUAAUGCCGGCGGUAUUGUAAUUUUUAAG
This is an RNA transcript of Trachymyrmex septentrionalis, 659 nucleotides long. RefSeq lists it as uncharacterized. NCBI's taxonomy places the organism in Eukaryota, Metazoa, Arthropoda, Insecta, Hymenoptera, Formicidae. The record is from RefSeq and is a predicted model, not a curated record. The transcript has 3 exons.